CGGGACGGGGUGGAGUAAUGUCUGGGAAACUGCCCGAUGGAGGGGGAUAACUACUGGAAACGGUAGCUAAUACCGCAUAACGUCGCAAGACCAAAGAGGGGGACCUUCGGGCCUCUUGCCAUCGGAUGUGCCCAGAUGGGAUUAGCUAGUAGGUGGGGUAACGGCUCACCUAGGCGACGAUCCCUAGCUGGUCUGAGAGGAUGAUCAGCCACACUGGGACUGAGACACGGCCCAG
This 235-nucleotide ribosomal RNA is filed under the name uncultured bacterium. RNAcentral describes it as "partial 16S ribosomal RNA". It matches the Rfam family "Bacterial small subunit ribosomal RNA", at positions 104 to 334 of the family's 1533-position model. The record is from RNAcentral.